Mercurialis annua (annual mercury) is the source of this 1071-nucleotide long non-coding RNA. RefSeq lists it as uncharacterized. NCBI's taxonomy places the organism in Eukaryota, Viridiplantae, Streptophyta, Magnoliopsida, Malpighiales, Euphorbiaceae. The record is from RefSeq and is a predicted model, not a curated record. The transcript has 4 exons.
CCGAAGGAAGUUAUGUUUUACUCUAUUUUCUCAAGAUAAGAAAAUAAUAUCGAUAAAGUGGUUAUCGAUAGUCAUUAAUAUGAAAAUUGGACGAAAAAGUGAGAAAAAGUGCAAAUUAGCUCAAAAUGGAAAUUUGAGCGUUUUUGGCCAAAAUUGCCAAAAUAAAUUGUUGAAAAGUGAUAUUAUAAGAUAUGAUACUAAUAUUAUUUAUUUGGAAAAUAAAUAAUACGGAAUUCAUCGAGAAUCGAAUAAUUAAAGGAUUAGUGGACUAAAUUGGACGAAAGAAAAGUUAGAAGUUAGAGGUUGAGGAGGUGGCAAACUCAAGGACUAAAGGAGACUUUUGUCUCAUUUAUCUAAGCCACUUGCAUAUGAGUUUAAACUCAGCAAGCUUAUCAUUUUCAGCUCCCAAAUUUCGUACUCCAUCCUUUCUCCAUGGAAGAUCAUCAACCAAAUUUCAAAGGAGCAUAACUUCUUCGUUUCUCAACGAAAUUGGACGAUUCUUGUGGCCACGGAACGAGAAGAAGGAGAGCUACUGAUCUAGCCCUAUUGUUCAAGGUGUUCUUGAGUUGAAUUGAAGCAAAGUUGAUGGUGAAUUUGAGCUUGAAGUGUUUGGCCAUGAUCAACAAUCCAAGACUCGACGAAGCGACUAUCGACAAGGCUUGAGGGGAAUGGAUCGAGAUGUCUUCGUGUUUAUUUAAAGAUUAUGGAUAGCAAGUGGGAUAGCAUGAUAUUAUUUGGAAAGUCAAGCUUCCGAAGUUUUAAUUCUCGGAAGUCAUUUGCACAAGAAGUGAAAGAAGAUUUUCAUUCUAGCGGUCCGCAGUAGUCUAGAUGUUUUUGUCUAUGUAGUUGACUAGCGCAUUUUAACUCUAAUAUUUUUGUAAAAUGGGGUCACAUGUAUUUUGAUAUAUGAAAAAAUGAUUUGAUUUGCGAAAAAUUUACACAGGUUUUUAGGCUUGCUACGGGAUUUGGAGCUACCACUCCCAUUCCCUAGCGCCGGUCGCGGCUCAUAAAUUUGGGUCGUGACAGAGCUGUUAAUGAAUAUGAUAUUUACGAUUGGGUUUUGAUACGAGU